This is a long non-coding RNA of Impatiens glandulifera, 261 nucleotides long. RefSeq lists it as uncharacterized. The record is from RefSeq and is a predicted model, not a curated record. Lineage: Eukaryota; Viridiplantae; Streptophyta; Magnoliopsida; Ericales; Balsaminaceae. The transcript has 4 exons.
UGACUGGAUUGCUUUCAAAAAGAGUUAAAUGCUUCUCUAGGAAUUUACAUUGUAUUGUGCUCUCUUUGCUCUUGCUGUCCAGAUAAUGUUGUGGAUGAAGAUGGAUCCAAAGAUGGUCAUGGUGAAGGCAAUUCUAAGAUAGAGUCAGACUAGAAGGUAUCGCCUUUAUCAACACUUGAAUCGUCAUUUGAGUCCCUCAAUGUGAAGAAAUUUGAUAGUAUUGAUCUUUCUUUCGCCAAAGGAUGGUGAAUUCCAUAGGCA